AGUGAACGCUGGCGGCGUGCUUAAUACAUGCAAGUCGCACGAGAAAGUUUCUUUCGGGAAGCGAGUAAAGUGGCGCACGGGUGAGUAACACGUAGAUAAUCUACCUUAGAGUGGGGAAUAACACUGGGAAACUAGUGCUAAUACCGCAUAAUCUGAAGAUGACCACGGUCGUUUUCAACAAAGAGGGCCUCUGCUUGCAAGCUCUCGCUUUUUGACGAGUCUGCGUCCCAUUAGAUAGUUGGCGGGGUAAUGGCCCACCAAGUCUACGAUGGGUAGCUGGUCUGAGAGGAUGAUCAGGCACACUGGAACUGAAACACGGUCCAGACUCCUACGGGAGGCAGCAGUAGGGAAUUUUGCGCAAUGGGCGAAAAGCCUGACGCAGCGACGCCGCGUGUGGGAUGAAAGGGUUUCGGCUCGUAAACCACUGUCAGAUGGGAAGAUGGGGUAACAAGUUAAUAAUUUGUUAUCUCGACUGUACCAUCAGAGGAAGCACCGGCUAACUACGUGCCAGCCGCCGCCGUAA
RNAcentral lists this ribosomal RNA (523 nucleotides) under uncultured bacterium. Its description in RNAcentral is "partial 16S ribosomal RNA". It matches the Rfam family "Bacterial small subunit ribosomal RNA", at positions 29 to 523 of the family's 1533-position model. The record is from RNAcentral.